Long non-coding RNA from Macrobrachium nipponense, 907 nucleotides. RefSeq lists it as uncharacterized. NCBI's taxonomy places the organism in Eukaryota, Metazoa, Arthropoda, Malacostraca, Decapoda, Palaemonidae. The transcript has 2 exons. The record is from RefSeq and is a predicted model, not a curated record.
CUAGAUUCUGGACUGUACCACAUAGUUGCUCAUUCUGGUAUUACUCUUUACCACCACCCACUGCCAGGGUGACGUAUUCAUUCAUUUAUUUUAUGUAUUCAGUCAUUAUUAUUAUUAUAGUUUCUUUUUAUGACCACAAACAAUUCACAUAGGCGAUUUCGAUUCAUAGUCAGAAUGUCCCCUGAAAAGCUGCCCUGGUCUCACCAGGCAAUUUCUCAUUGAAAUGCAUUCCAACCAAUCGAAGGAUGUCUUUCGAAGCCUUUCGGCCAAAGCACAGGAACUUCAACCAAUGAGAAAAAGUGUUAGGAAAGCUCUCCACGUUGAGCAUGGUGGUAGACACUGAUUGGCCAAGUGAAAAUUUUCGGAGUCUUUCCUUUUGAGUCUUUGACAGUUCUUAGACAGCAGCAGAGUAAACAGGAGGACGGUAUUACUGCUAAAACAUUUUAGUUUUCGCACCAGUGCGAUUGCGAGUUAAUUGGACGGUAUCACAGCUAAAACAGUUUGAUUUUUCGCACCAGUACGAUGGUUCACUACUGGGGUCACUGUACAGCUGUGAGAAUUACAAGAUGGAAAAACAAGAAGAGGAAAAGGGACAAAUACUUCUAAUAAAAUCCUCAAAGAUUGAUAUUAAAUGUGCUAGGUGACGUCGAUGACAAAGAAAAUUUGAAAGUAUCUUAAUGAAAAGAACUUAAAGAUCAGAUAUAAAUAAACUUUAACUUUGAUAAAAGAUCAUACAAUUCGGCGCUACGUAUAUCAAAGAAAAAAAAGAGGAAAUAAUCAAAUCGGAGAUAAAUGGCAAUGGAAAUCAAGAAGUACAAAUAACCAUGAGAGCCUCAUACAGGAAGACGUUCAAAGCAAAUAUGUAAAUGGCCUAUGGAAAACAAAAUGCACGUUAAUUCAUCAAGAA